Molecule: ribosomal RNA, 783 nt
Filed under: uncultured bacterium
Lineage: Bacteria
Description: bacterial SSU rRNA
Rfam family: Bacterial small subunit ribosomal RNA
Source: RNAcentral
UNGGAGAGGAAAGUGGAAUUCCUAGUGUAGCGGUGAAAUGCGUAGAUAUUAGGAAGAACACCAGUGGCGAAGGCGACUUUCUGGACGAAAACUGACGCUGAGGCGCGAAAGCCAGGGGAGCGAACGGGAUUAGAUACCCCGGUGGUCCUGGCCGUAAACGAUGGGUACUAGGUGUAGGAGGUAUCGACCCCUUCUGUGCCGGAGUUAACGCAAUAAGUACCCCGCCUGGGGAGUACGACCGCAAGGUUGAAACUCGAAGGAAUUGACGGGGGCCCGCACAAGCGGUGGAGUAUGUGGUUUAAUUCGACGCAACGCGAAGAACCUUACCAGGUCUUGACAUUGAUGGACAGAACCAGAGAUGGUUCCUCUUCUUCGGAAGCCAGAAAACAGGUGGUGCACGGUUGUCGUCAGCUCGUGUCGUGAGAUGUUGGGUUAAGUCCCGCAACGAGCGCAACCCCUAUCUUAUGUUGCCAGCACGUAAAGGUGGGAACUCAUGAGAGACUGCCGCAGACAAUGCGGAGGAAGGCGGGGAUGACGUCAAAUCAUCAUGCCCCUUAUGACCUGGGCUACACACGUACUACAAUGGGAGUUAAUAGACGGAAGCGAGAUCGCGAGAUGGAGCAAACCCGAGAAACACUCUCUCAGUUCGGAUCGUAGGCUGCAACUCGCCUACGUGAAGUCGGAAUCGCUAGUAAUCGCAGGUCAGCAUACUGCGGUGAAUACGUUCCCGGGCCUUGUACACACCGCCCGUCACACCACGAAAGUCGGAAGUGCCCAAAGCCG